Molecule: ribosomal RNA, 504 nt
Filed under: Psora crenata
Lineage: Eukaryota; Fungi; Ascomycota; Lecanoromycetes; Lecanorales; Psoraceae
Description: LSU rRNA
Rfam family: Eukaryotic large subunit ribosomal RNA
Source: RNAcentral
GAAGCGGCAAUAGCUCAAAUUUGAAAUCUGACCCCUUUGGGGCCCGAGUUGUAAUUUGCAGAGGGUGUUUCGGGCGCGGCGCCGGUUUAAGUCCUUUGGAACAGGGUGUCAUAGAGGGUGAGAACCCCGUAUGUGACCGGCCGUUAAGCCUCUGUGAAACCCCUUCGACGAGUCGAGUUGUUUGGGAAUGCAGCUCAAAAUGGGUGGUAAAUUUCAUCUAAAGCUAAAUAUUGGCCAGAGACCGAUAGCGCACAAGUAGAGUGAUCGAAAGAUGAAAAGCACUUUGGAAAGAGAGUCAAACAGCACGUGAAAUUGUUGAAAGGGAAGCGCUUGCGACCAGACCUGCUCGCGGGUGAUCAGCGGUGCUUUUCGCGCCGUGCACUCGCCCGCGAUCAGGCCAGCAUCGGUUCGGGCGGCCGGAUAAAGACUCGGAGAAUGUAGCUCCCUCCGGGGAGUGUUAUAGCUUCUUGUGCAAUACGGCCAGCCCGGACCGAGGACCGCGCU